GUAGUCGGAUUCACAUCAAUUCAUAUGUACUGGGAUGGAUUGGAGUGAAAUUUAAAUUAAAUUACACCCUAGUCCACCUCAACACAUGUAAAUUGACGUAAAUACGAUU
Molecule: microRNA precursor, 109 nt
Organism: Sorghum bicolor (sorghum)
Lineage: Eukaryota; Viridiplantae; Streptophyta; Magnoliopsida; Poales; Poaceae
Rfam family: MIR5565 microRNA precursor family
Source: Rfam